UACGGAGGGUGCGAGCGUUAAUCGGAAUUACUGGGCGUAAAGCGCACGCAGGCGGUUUGUUAAGCUAGAUGUGAAAGCCCCGGGCUCAACCUGGGAUGGUCAUUUAGAACUGGCAGACUAGAGUCUUGGAGGGGGGAGUGGAAUUCCAGGUGUAGCGGUGAAAUGCGUAGAUAUCUGGAGGAACAUCAGUGGCGAAGGCGACUCCCUGGCCAAAGACUGACGCUCAUGUGCGAAAGUGUGGGUAGCGAACAGG
This 253-nucleotide ribosomal RNA is filed under the name uncultured bacterium. RNAcentral's name for it is "partial 16S ribosomal RNA". It matches the Rfam family "Bacterial small subunit ribosomal RNA", at positions 524 to 776 of the family's 1533-position model. The record is from RNAcentral.